RNAcentral lists this long non-coding RNA (960 nucleotides) under Setaria italica (foxtail millet). Its description in RNAcentral is "long non-coding RNA (SITA_LNC000712)". Lineage: Eukaryota; Viridiplantae; Streptophyta; Magnoliopsida; Poales; Poaceae. The record is from RNAcentral.
CGAACGGUCGUUGGUACUGUAGUUGGAUCAAACACGAUGUACUUACGGUCGGCAUCCUUCUUUAAUUUGCAUCUUCUAUCCCUCUUUUCUUCCCUCUCCUUUUUUUCUCCUUGGAACACCCGCAACGCCGUUGCUUGGAUUCGUUUUUUUCUUCUUCUUUUUGGUGGUGAAGAAGAAGGUCGCAUUCCAGAGUUCGUUUUCUGCACGCUCCGAGCUGUACUUCAUUCGGCACGGCUUGUAGUGCUUCACCUCCCUUGUCCUCCUCCACCUCUACAACUAAUAAGUAUUUUCUUUUGACCCCAAUUCCCAAAAGCUCCAAUCCUCUUUCAAAAACCAGAGGACCCUCGGCAGCUGCUGCCUGCAACAAACAUCCGUCGGCCAUCAGGAUCGCAGUUGUUUCACCGCUGGAAAUCAUUAAGCCGCGUUUAGCCGUCAAGCCCGAGAGCCCAGCUAACUAAUCCGUGGACGUCGUCCUGCUGGUUCUCCACGGGCCGGCACGCGUAGCCAAGCUACGCGGCGACCAUGCCCGGGGACCCUUGUAAAUUCUAACAGCCGGCGUUGUCGCGUGGAGCAUCAUCUAUCGGAGGCGCCGUGUCCGCACGGGCGGCCGCCGCCGCCGCCGGUGCACGGCUCGCUCGCAGGUCUAAGCACGUCUCUCGCGCACAAACCAUCGGGUUGCGACCGGUUCCUUUUCUGCUCUCCGUGAGAGAAAAGCUACGUUUUUUUUCCCUGGAAGAACGAGGCAUGGUUAGGCAGUGGGGAAAGAAGGGGUGGCGCGUCGUGCGUUUCGGCAAAGAUCUCGGUGUUAUUUUCGCUGAUGAUCAGCAAUGCUUUUAGUUUCAUCGCUGUUGGGAUAUACUCUUUCUAGCUGGUUGCUUAACGAGGCCACAUCAUGAUUGGCGGGCGAGCAUUUCUUUCUGUUCUCCUCUCUGGUGAUCCGCGUAGCCUGUUUCUGUUUUC